UCGGGAGAGGCAGGCGACACGCAGGGCUCGCGAGGGAGAGCACGGGGGGAGAGGCAACGGGGGGAGAUGGGAUUGGCUGAGGGAGGAGACGAGAGGGGGUUGUCGCUAGGGUUGGCGGGAGGAGGCUUGGGCCUUGGGCAGGCCUCCUCUCUCCCUCAAACUUGUUUUUAAAAAAAAAUCAGAAAAACUCAAACAAAAGAAAAGGUAUUAACAAAAUAAAAAAAA
This 225-nucleotide long non-coding RNA is filed under the name Hordeum vulgare. RNAcentral describes it as "long non-coding RNA (HVUL_LNC012559)". Lineage: Eukaryota; Viridiplantae; Streptophyta; Magnoliopsida; Poales; Poaceae. The record is from RNAcentral.